This 5111-nucleotide unclassified non-coding RNA is filed under the name Anneissia japonica. Its description in RNAcentral is "uncharacterized LOC117107440, transcript variant X1". Lineage: Eukaryota; Metazoa; Echinodermata; Crinoidea; Comatulida; Comatulidae. The record is from RNAcentral.
UGGUCCUUAUGCUUGUGGUGUUGUUGAGGUAGGCCUACAGUAUCUGUUGUAGUGAAGGUCUGUGAGUGAAAAGAAUGUUUCAGAUUUUCAACAGAAUAUUCCAAUAAUGAUUGAUUUUGGUCUUGAGGAUGAUUUACACUUUCUAGCAUCAAUUGAAGUGAAUAAGGAUAAUUUUGAUUCUCUGUUGGCCUAUGAUGAUCUGUUUGUGGACUAUUUUAAUGCUUUUCUCCAGCUUCCUGCAUUCCCACAACCGUUAUAUUACAACCGUUUAACUGGAGCAUUCCAAGAGGUAGAGGAUGUACUUGUUGGGGGAUCACUCCAAACUGGGGAGCACCCACCUGCGAUGCUUGCUCCCAUUGACGAAGAGCUUGAAAGGAUCAUGGAAUGGGCUAUUAAUGAAAGGUUACCACUUUUUAUGAGGACAAGACUAUUUCUGGAGUACAAACUGUGUAAAUUAUUGGUACGUCCUCUUGACAACCGUAACAGUGCCAUCAGUCGGCAAAGUAGUUACGGACUUCGAGGUUACAGCCGUCAAACGACAAGUUAUGCUACAUCCAGCUUGAUACGAAGUGCAGCACCGAGUUUAUACGACAAUGAAAGCCAUCUCAGCUGGCCUGAUCUGGAUCAAACUGGUUUGUUCAAGUAUCUGCGGCCAGGCAGCAGAUGCCAGAGCUUGCCUGCCACAUUAGGCCUUGUUGGUUAUUAUGGUACAUUGUCUUCCGCUUCUGCUGUCAACAAAAACAAAGAAAGCAGCGGAGAUAGGCACAGCAGUAAUGUGACCCCUAGCAACGAAGUGAAACCAUCUCAUCUAUAUAAUACCCACAAUUCAUCAGAAUAUAUUUCUCAAGAUCUGAUGAAUACAAGCUUUGAUCAUGAAGGCUUUGCCGGCACAUCUAACAGUCAGGAGGCAAACACUCCAAAUAAAAAGAGUUCACUGAAAAGCCCAGGUUUGAAAGGUGGCAUCCUUAAAAAACAUGCUACAAUCCAGAUACCCCGAGAAACCAAGGAACAGGAUUCAGAUGAUGAGGGCAGUUUCUCUCAAGCUAUAGAUGAAAGAUUUACAUCAGCCCCUGCAGACAAGGGAGCUACAUCACCUCAUUAUUCAACAAUUGGUGAGUUUAUCCAAGAGAUAAUUGAGGACGAGGAUGACCAGCCAAGCCUGAUAGAAUAUGAGGAGGAUGAUUUGAUAAAUUGUGAAAGAACCGAGUCAGAGCUUCUCCAAAUGGUCGGAAAACAUUACAUGACUUUUCAACAACUCAAAGAAGAGGUACUUGGCGGAAUGGUUGGCAUGGAUGAAUUUAAGUCAUUUCUCAUUGGUACCGCUGGUGAGAACUUGCUGAAUUUCUGGUUGGACUGUGAACUAUAUCGUGACAAUGUACAGGCAUUAGACAACUCAGAAGUGAAGGUCACAAAAAGCAGAUUAUUUAGAGAUAUUCAAGACAAAUAUAAAUUCAAGCUAACCAAAGAUGCGAAGGAUCAGAUAAAGAAGGCGCAGGGAAACGAGGGAUUAAGUGAAUCUGUUUACACCCGGACACAGUAUGACGUGCUCCGCAGGUUGCGGAUGUACUGGGUCCCACGCUUUCUUAUCCACCAGAAGAGGCUUGGUGAUUUUAGAUUUCAAAGAAUUCAGGAGGUGCAAGAGAGAGUGCAAGAGGAGAGGCAUCAAAGGUACCAGGUAUCAUUCCUACCAUCAAUCUCUCUCGUGAACUCACUCCCAGUGCGUCCUGGAUCAUGCUAUCGUCUUGCCUCCACCGCCAAUGAUUGGAACAUGGUGUCCAAAGCGGGACGGAAAAUGCAAGAUGAAGUUCAACCGGGCUGUGUUGAGGACCUUUCUCCACGAAGCAUGAUCCGGCCAAUGUCAGCACGUUUUCAAAUUGGCUUAGCAAGUGAUAGAGAAGCUGGGCGUCCAUUUCAACAGUAUCUUGAAAGACAAAUGGAUACUAGACUUUUAGCCAACCUGCUCUUCUUGCAAGAUGUCACGGACUACGGAGAAGCCGAAGAGAGGUCAGCUGACCGGUUUCUGCGUAUGAGUCGGGCGUGGCACAUCUUUAACAAGUACAUCAUAGAUGGUUCAGUGUGGGACAUAGGGUUACCAUGUUUUAAGCGGAAUAUACUUCAUCAUCAGCUUCUGACUGCCAGUGAUUUUGUUGCUGUGACAGCAUUUGAAAAGAUUAAAGAAAAUGCUAUGAAAACAUUGCAGAGGGAGUGGCUCCGAUAUCUCCGCCAGGAUUUGAAAACAUUUUUAAAAUGUAGAGCUAGGAUAGAAGACGUCAUCACCGUCUCUCGUAGUCAUAGUCAAGCUUCUGUAGGCUCCCCUGUGGGUGGGGUUACAGAAAAAAAACAUUUAAAAUCAAUCAAAAAUCAACAAGGAAGACACUACAAAUCAACCAGUCUGAGAGACAUGGACAUUUUGGAGGAUUCCGAGGAGUCAGAACCUGACACCAGGGCUACCAAAAUAAAAACGAAAAGCAAGAAGGAAUUAAGUCCAGAAGAGAAGAAGAAGGCUGCAGAAAAGAAAAAGAAGCAAUUAGCGGAACAGAAGAAAUUACUAAGAAAGGUGAAACAAAGGGAGGCAAACCAGAAGAAAAAAUCAACUCAUGACUUGAAAGGAAGUGUAAAAUUCAAGACACCUCAAGAUGAAAAGAAGGAAAAAGACAAUAAAGCGGAGGAAGAAUUGAAAAGAACACCGGAGGAGUUAACGAGAAACGUAACAUUUAAGAAAGUUAAUAGGAACAGAUCGUUAAUGAACUUAUUCAAGUCAUAUUUACAAGAUGCUGAAAGUCGUGAGAGGGUUAAUGAAUGCAACAUGUACAUUGAUGUAGACGUCUAUAUAAGAAUUCCAGAUUCUCACGGGGACAAAAAGAUAAGCCAAGGGAAGAUGAUAAUGUCCAACUACUUUGACCCUUCCUCUAAAAGGUUUGUUGAACUUUCUCAAGAUGUUAUGACCAAGCUAUCAUCUGAAGGUAAUAAACCCACAGCAAAAACAUUGGAGCUUGCCCAGAAAGCUGUUGCACAAAAACUUGAAGAUAGUUUCACUGUUUUUUGGAGUGCUCAUGUUGAGUCUCUGGAGGAGCAGGGGGUUGUGAUUGGUGGUGACCUGUCCAAGGCAGACUUGGCCUUAAGGUCAGAUAGCUCGCAGAGCAUGAUGAUGGCCUGGAAGAAAAAACGAAGACAGGGUAAAGGCACUCAAUCUGGUCAACAUAUGCCAUCCACUCAGGACAAGAAUGAGUUCAUGGCAUUCCUUCUGCAAUUAUCCCGUGGGGUGCCGCCUGUCAAGAUGAUGCAUUUUCAUCGGUAUCUCAUAGUGCACGGUGAGAAGGAUGGAUUCCCAAUGAUGGCAAAUGAUUUGCGCUUCUACAUGGAGGCACAACGGUUUAAAGAUGCGCAUAAUGGGGACACGGAGCUCUCAUUAUUGAAGAAAAAGGUUGAAGUUAUUCAGGACUGCUUCUUUGAUUCUGCCACUGGAAGCUCUGGUGUUCAGAUUGAUGUGAGCCCUGAACUAGCAGCCAAAGUACUUCGUCUGAUCGAAAGUUUUCUGAAGGAUCGUGGUAAAGAUCCUCAUCCAGCUAAUUUAUUUGAGGAGUGCCAACACUCCAUCUUCAAGGAGCUGCUACCUUACUGGGCGGGCUUUAGUAGACGUUAUACCAGCACUCAUUUUAAAGACAGAAUACCAUCAACCAAAGUUGAACGUUUAUCCCGGGAGCGACUGAGGAAGUACAUUGAAAUGGAAGAGCCACAGAAAGAGUUCUGCUUGCCAGCCAUUGCAGCGCCACAAAGCCGGAGUGGUGGGACUUGUAUAUCAUUUACAAUCAGUGACGGCAUCCAGUGGAAGACUUUUGACUAUGGGGAUGCCAUUAGCUCACACGACGACAACGCUUCCCCCAACCUCAGUCGCCGUGGAAGUUCUUUAGAUUCCCAAACUGCCUCUGUGAUCAAUGAGAAACAAGGUCGUAGGAGUACAAUCCGGAAGAGUAGUAAUCUUGGAAGUACCAUGGGUGACAUCAAACAGAGACUUGGUGGUACACCAAAAGUGAAUGUUUUAUCUCAAAGCUGAUGAAUUGUAUUAUUGAAAAGAGCUUCUUGAGUAUGAGAGAGAGGGGUGGAAUUUGUAACACAGAAUAAUCUGUUUAUUUUGUAUAUAUAUAUAGGGUAGGGAGGAACCUAGUUUAGAAGGCUGUGGGUACAGUUGAGUUGAGUGGAUGUCGUGGGUUAAAAUGAGGCUGUGGGUGAGAAGGAUGGAAACUUAGUUAUGAGGCUGUGGGUUUGUGUAGGGAAUAUACCCUGUGGGUACUGUGGUUUAUGUUGAGGCUGUUGGUUCAGGUAGGGUGGAACUGUUGGUUAAGACGAGGCCUGGGUGUUUUUGUGGGUAUUGGUUUAUGUUGUGUGGAACUGUGGUUCAGGAUGAGGCUGUGGGUUUGGGUACAGUGGGGCAAGAUAAGGCUGAUGGGUUUGUGUAGGGUGUACAUUGUACUGUAGAUAUAAGUUUGUGGGUUAAGGUGGGCUGUGGGUUUCAGAGUGCAAGUUGUUGGUCUUGGCAGUGUAAGAAUGGGUUCUGAGUACAGUAGUUUUGCUCCUUGUGUUUACUAAAUAAUUAUGUUCUUUUAUUUGUUUAAUCAAACAUUAGUGAAGUAUGGUUUAUAAUAUGUCUUCCUGUUCGAUGAAUCAGUCUCACAUUUCUUAGUAAAUUACGUGAUUGUGGAUGUAUUAUUUUAAAAUCAAAACUUCCAGAUUUUCUUACUCCUUAUUCAGUCAACCAGUUGCUAUGACAUCAGUGUGUGCACAAGAUCCAAAUAAUUUAAUAUUAUCUUAGCUUCCCUCUAACCCAGUACUUACAAAUAAUAGUGUAUUUCUCUAUUAAACCAUGUAAAUAUAUAUAUGGUUUUAACUAUAGCUGAAUGUAUAAAAAAAAAUUUAAGUGCAAUUGUUCAUACCAAAUGUUAUUUAUGCUGAACCAAUUUGAUUAUACUAAGUGUGUGCUUCUAUUGGAAUCAUGUGACAUAUGACAUCAUCAAAGAUUAAUUGCUGUGCUUGUCAAUAGAUUAUAGUAAAUUAAUGUAUUAAAUUAAUUGUUUUUCCCAUAAAAAGGAAUACUAUUAAAAUAAGACAUCUAA